Molecule: ribosomal RNA, 377 nt
Filed under: uncultured eukaryote
Lineage: Eukaryota
Description: partial 18S ribosomal RNA
Rfam family: Eukaryotic small subunit ribosomal RNA
Source: RNAcentral
CAAUAGCGUAUAUUUAAGUUGCUGCAGUUAAAAAGCUCGUAGUUGGAUUUCGGGUGGGAAUGGCCGGUCCGCCGUUUCGGUGUGCACUUGCUACGCCCACCUUGCUGCCGGGGACGUGCUCUUGAGUUCACGCUCGGGACACGGAGUCGGCGAGGUUACUUUGAGUAAAUUAGAGUGUUCAAAGCAAGCCUACGCUCUGAAUAUAUUAGCAUGGAAUAACACGAUAGGACUCUGGCUUAUCUUGUUGGUCUGUGAGACCAGAGUAAUGAUUAAGAGGGACAGUCGGGGACAUUCGUAUUUCAUUGUCAGAGGUGAAAUUCUUGGAUUUAUGAAAGACGAACUACUGCGAAAGCAUUUGCCAAGGAUGUUUUCAUUAA